UACGUAGGGUGCAAGCGUUGUCCGGAAUUAUUGGGCGUAAAGAGCUCGUAGGCGGUUUGUCGCGUCGAAUGUGAAAUCCCGAGGCUCAACCUCGGGUCUGCAGUCGAUACGAGCAAACUAGAGUGUUGCAGGGGAGACUGGAAUUCCUGGUGUAGCGGUGAAAUGCGUAGAUAUCUGGAGGAACACCGGUGGCGAAGGCGGCGUUCUGGACUGCAACUGACACUGAGGAACGAAAGCCAGGGGAGCAAAACGGG
RNAcentral lists this ribosomal RNA (254 nucleotides) under uncultured bacterium. Its description in RNAcentral is "partial 16S ribosomal RNA". It matches the Rfam family "Bacterial small subunit ribosomal RNA", at positions 524 to 777 of the family's 1533-position model. The record is from RNAcentral.